Molecule: ribosomal RNA, 253 nt
Filed under: uncultured bacterium
Lineage: Bacteria
Description: partial 16S ribosomal RNA
Rfam family: Bacterial small subunit ribosomal RNA
Source: RNAcentral
UACGGAGGGUGCAAGCGUUGUUCGGAAUUACUGGGCGUAAAGGGCUCGUAGGCGGCCAACUAAGUCAUACGUGAAAUCCCUCAGCUUAACUGGGGAACUGCGUGUGAUACUGGAUGGCUUGGAUUUGGGAGAGGGAUGCGGAAUUCCAGGUGUAGCGGUGAAAUGCGUAGAUAUCUGGAGGAACACCGGUGGCGAAGGCGGCAUCCUGGACCAAUAUUGACGCUGAGGAGCGAAAGCCAGGGGAGCAAACGGG